CGUCCGUGGAUGCUCGAGACAAACCAAUAGCGGACCACGCUUUGUCGAGGCCUGGUGCACAGGCUCGAGCAAGCCAGUUUGAAUCACAAAGGCCUGUUUAUCCUUUAAUUUCCUGAAAGAUAUGAAAAUCUGCCGCUACA
Long non-coding RNA from Amblyraja radiata (thorny skate), 140 nucleotides. RefSeq lists it as uncharacterized. The record is from RefSeq and is a predicted model, not a curated record. Lineage: Eukaryota; Metazoa; Chordata; Chondrichthyes; Rajiformes; Rajidae. The transcript is spliced from 3 exons.